UACAUUGCAGNUCGCNUNGUACACACACGAGCAGCUAGCUCUCGGGUGACGAGUGGCGGACGGGUGAGUAAUGUCUGGGAAACUGCCUGAUGGAGGGGGAUAACUACUGGAAACGGUAGCUAAUACCGCAUAACGUCUUCGGACCAAAGUGGGGGACCUUCGGGCCUCACACCAUCGGAUGUGCCCAGAUGGGAUUAGCUAGUAGGUGGGGUAAUGGCUCACCUAGGCGACGAUCCCUAGCUGGUCUGAGAGGAUGACCAGCCACACUGGAACUGAGACACGGUCCAGACUCCUACGGGAGGCAGCAGUGGGGAAUAUUGCACAAUGGGCGCAAGCCUGAUGCAGCCAUGCCGCGUGUAUGAAGAAGGCCUUCGGGUUGUAAAGUACUUUCAGCGGGGAGGAAGGCGAUAAGGUUAAUAACCUUAUCGAUUGACGUUACCCGCAGAAGAAGCACCGGCUAACUCCGUGCCAGCAGCCGCGGUAAUACGGAGGGUGCAAGCGUUAAUCGGAAUUACUGGGCGUAAAGCGCACGCAGGCGGUCUGUCAAGUCAGAUGUGAAAUCCCCGGGCUUAACCUGGGAACUGCAUUUGAAACUGGCAGGCUAGAGUCUUGUAGAGGGGGGUAGAAUUCCAGGUGUAGCGGUGAAAUGCGUANAGAUCUGGAGGAAUACCGGUGGCGAAGGCGGCCCCCUGGACAAAGACUGACGCUCAGGUGCGAANGCGUGGGGAGCAAACAGGAUUANAUACCCUGGUAGUCCACGCCGUAACGAUG
This 771-nucleotide ribosomal RNA is filed under the name Erwinia sp. Its description in RNAcentral is "bacterial SSU rRNA". It matches the Rfam family "Bacterial small subunit ribosomal RNA", at positions 52 to 811 of the family's 1533-position model. Lineage: Bacteria; Pseudomonadati; Pseudomonadota; Gammaproteobacteria; Enterobacterales; Erwiniaceae. The record is from RNAcentral.